GACGAACGCUGGCGGCGUGCCUAAUACAUGCAAGUCGAGCGGACUUAUGGGAGCUUGCUCCCAUAAGUUAGCGGCGGACGGGUGAGUAACACGUGGGCAACCUGCCUGUAAGACUGGGAUAACUUCGGGAAACCGGAGCUAAUACCGGAUAACUCUUUCCCUCACAUGAGGGAAAGCUGAAAGAUGGUUUUGGCUAUCACUUACAGAUGGGCCCGCGGCGCAUUAGCUAGUUGGUGAGGUAACGGCUCACCAAGGCAACGAUGCGUAGCCGACCUGAGAGGGUGAUCGGCCACACUGGGACUGAGACACGGCCCAGACUCCUACGGGUGGCUG
RNAcentral lists this ribosomal RNA (333 nucleotides) under uncultured Bacillota bacterium. RNAcentral describes it as "bacterial SSU rRNA". It matches the Rfam family "Bacterial small subunit ribosomal RNA", at positions 28 to 351 of the family's 1533-position model. The record is from RNAcentral. Lineage: Bacteria; Bacillati; Bacillota.